GUUCUUCCACUGCCAACAAGUUUUUUGUGGCCUGCACAUUUGGUUCUCUCGGAUAUUCACGUCCAAACACCUCAACCACAAGACGGGCAAACUUGACAGUAGUCUUCAGGGAUGUGUUCUCCCGCAUCCUAACCAUCUCAUCAACGACAUCUAUCGCAAUACCAAGUACAAGCAUUCUCACAGCAGCCGUGCACUUCUGCUUGGCAAAGAAAGAGAGUUUACUAC
Molecule: long non-coding RNA, 225 nt
Filed under: Hordeum vulgare
Lineage: Eukaryota; Viridiplantae; Streptophyta; Magnoliopsida; Poales; Poaceae
Description: long non-coding RNA (HVUL_LNC013342)
Source: RNAcentral